Molecule: long non-coding RNA, 269 nt
Organism: Vitis vinifera (wine grape)
Lineage: Eukaryota; Viridiplantae; Streptophyta; Magnoliopsida; Vitales; Vitaceae
Exons: 3
Source: RefSeq, a predicted model, not a curated record
UUUCACCUUUUCCUUCGGACGUUUUUUCUUUCUUCUCUGCAACUUCCCUAAGGUUUUCUACUUGUUGCUUUCCAGUUCGUCGGCUUUCUGAUGUCUCAAACGGAUACAAACCACUCGUCCGAUUCGGCAUGGCCUGAAAGGGAAGCAAUGGAGCCAAUCGGGGACAUAAUGAGCCCUCAGUUAAUAGUUGACUUACCGACCACAAACAAAGGAGCUGCUCAGGGAAACGUUCUACUUUCUGGUAAUUGGGGGUGCCCGCCAACUUCUAC